GUGUCAGCCGCCGCGGUAGGACGUAGGUGGCGAGCGUUAUCCGGAUUUACUGGGCGUAAAGCGCGUGCAGGCGGUUCGGUAAGUCGGGCGUGAAAUCUCCUGGCUCAACUAGGAGAGGCCGUCCGAUACUUCCGAACUUGAGGGCAGUAGAGGGAGGUGGAGUUCCGGGUGUAGUGGUGAAAUGCGUAGAUAUCCGGAGGAACACCGGUGGCGAAAGCGGCCUCCUGGACUGCACCUGACGCUCAGACGCGAAAGCUAGGGGAGCGAACGGGAUUAGAAACCCCGGUAGUCCACGCCGUAAACGAUGGGCACUUGGUGUCGCGGGUAUCGACCCCUGCGGUGCCGAAGCUAACGCAUUAAGUGCCCCGCCUGGGGAGUACGGUCGCAAGGCUGAA
This 395-nucleotide ribosomal RNA is filed under the name uncultured bacterium. RNAcentral describes it as "bacterial SSU rRNA". It matches the Rfam family "Bacterial small subunit ribosomal RNA", at positions 505 to 898 of the family's 1533-position model. The record is from RNAcentral.